This 707-nucleotide ribosomal RNA is filed under the name Triticum aestivum (bread wheat). Its description in RNAcentral is "partial small subunit ribosomal RNA". Lineage: Eukaryota; Viridiplantae; Streptophyta; Magnoliopsida; Poales; Poaceae. The record is from RNAcentral.
AUGCCAUUGUCGACUUGCUUAGGUACAUAAUUGUUAUGUCUUGCAAUCUGGUAUUGAUGAUUGUCAAUUUAUUCAUUUAUACCUUUCUAGUGUACCUUGCAUGUGACCCAGCUAGUCUGUAUAUCAAUGCUCUGUUUCCAAUAGAUGUAUGCUGAUGCCUGAUGGCUGAUUCCUUAAAACUUCACUGUUGCAGUAGCAUUUUUCCUUAGUGCUUCAAACCUUGCUCUCUUUCCCAGGAACCAUCAUCGUCUGCGUCACUACUGGGGCAGGAGAGGAAAGACUGUUGUUGUCUCCAGGAACCGAUAAACUGCUUUACAAAGAUCCCCGCAUAGCUUCACUACUACUGUGUUGGUCCAUUUCCAGAAUUGUAAGGAUAAUGCUUUUGCUUAAGGAGAGGCUCAAGAAGAUCAGGGAGCUCCGCAUCCGAGUUUCAGCCAUCCUCUACAGCAAGGAGCUCCGGUCCAAAGGAGCAACCAACGCUGCUAGUUCCUUGAGGCCAGAUCGAGUAAGAUGGCGCACCAUGGCGUGUGGUGGCGUAUUUUGCUUCUGAGAACAAUACUGUUUAUUUGAAGUGAGAUGUACUAGUCUAUGUUGUAGUGAGCUGUAGUAGGAGUGAAAUGAAAAUGUAUCUGUUAUUGUAUGUACAUUUUACUUGAACAUUAAAUUCUCCAGAAAAAAUGUUCUUAUUGGACCUGAUAGUGGCCACG